This 92-nucleotide transfer RNA is filed under the name Gammaproteobacteria bacterium. RNAcentral's name for it is "tRNA-Ser". It matches the Rfam family "tRNA". From Rfam's summary of the family: Transfer RNA (tRNA) molecules are approximately 80 nucleotides in length. Their secondary structure includes four short double-helical elements and three loops (D, anti-codon, and T loops). RNAcentral also lists the same sequence under 3 other names. Lineage: Bacteria; Pseudomonadati; Pseudomonadota; Gammaproteobacteria. The record is from RNAcentral.
GGAGAGGUACCGAAGCGGUCAUAACGGCACCGACUCGAAAUCGGUUGAGGGCAUUACGCCCUACGUGGGUUCGAAUCCCACCCUCUCCGCCA